CAGAGCCACGCCCACGUCCUCUCAUUGGCUGUCGGUGUCCAUGACGAUGCGCUCCGGUCAGCAGCCGCGGUCAGAGCGCACAAUUACACACACUGCUGACCUUGACAACAGCAUGGACUCAUUUUCCUGACAUCACUGUGAGUGUGUGAGUGUGUGUGUGUGUGUGUGUUCAGUCGAGUCUGGUGAUGUGAAUCUGAAAGAAGUGUUUCAGUAAGUGUUUGAGCAGGUUUAUCCAUCACAUCUACUCAAGUUUUCUCAGGGAUUAGUUUAAGACGCUGGUUCUUUAGUGAUUUCCUGCUUCAUUAAAGGAGCUGCAUAAACAUUCCGCUAAAUAUCUAUCGCUUGUCUUCCACCGAG
Molecule: long non-coding RNA, 357 nt
Organism: Labeo rohita (rohu)
Lineage: Eukaryota; Metazoa; Chordata; Actinopteri; Cypriniformes; Cyprinidae
Exons: 3
Source: RefSeq, a predicted model, not a curated record